Molecule: ribosomal RNA, 642 nt
Filed under: Cylindrospermum sp. K1
Lineage: Bacteria; Bacillati; Cyanobacteriota; Cyanophyceae; Nostocales; Nostocaceae
Description: bacterial SSU rRNA
Rfam family: Bacterial small subunit ribosomal RNA
Source: RNAcentral
CAUCGGACGGGUGAGUAACGCGUGAGAAUCUAGCUUUAGGUCUGGGACAACCACUGGAAACGGUGGCUAAUACCGGAUGUGCCGAGAGGUGAAAGGCUUGCUGCCUGAAGAUGAGCUCGCGUCUGAUUAGCUAGUUGGUGGGGUAAGAGCCUACCAAGGCGACGAUCAGUAGCUGGUCUGAGAGGAUGAUCAGCCACACUGGGACUGAGACACGGCCCAGACUCCUACGGGAGGCAGCAGUGGGGAAUUUUCCGCAAUGGGCGAAAGCCUGACGGAGCAAUACCGCGUGAGGGAGGAAGGCUCUUGGGUUGUAAACCUCUUUUCUCAGGGAAGAAAAAAAUGACGGUACCUGAGGAAUAAGCAUCGGCUAACUCCGUGCCAGCAGCCGCGGUAAUACGGAGGAUGCAAGCGUUAUCCGGAAUGAUUGGGCGUAAAGCGUCCGCAGGUGGCUAUGUAAGUCUGCUGUUAAAGAGCAAGGCUCAACCUUGUAAAGGCAGUGGAAACUACAUGGCUAGAGUGCGUUCGGGGCAGAGGGAAUUCCUGGUGUAGCGGUGAAAUGCGUAGAGGUCAGGAAGAACACCGGUGGCGAAAGCGCUUUGCUAGCCGGCAACUGAACACUGAAGGACCCAAAACUAAUCCUUU